GUGCCAUCUAACGUGUUUCUUCUGUUAAGAUAUGUUGAUAUGUUCAGGAAGGGUGAUACAACAUCAAACAGUCACUGAUACGCAUAUGCUUUUUGACUUAAGCAUAAAACACUAAAUUAUUUAUCAAUCUCUUGUGCAUGGUUAUUUUCAAAUAUCUGUACGGGACUUUACGAGAUUGUACGUGAGUAUAGGUCACCAUAAGUGACUAUAUUUGAAGAUUUUAAAGAAC
RNAcentral lists this long non-coding RNA (229 nucleotides) under Mytilus galloprovincialis (Mediterranean mussel). The record is from RNAcentral. Lineage: Eukaryota; Metazoa; Mollusca; Bivalvia; Mytilida; Mytilidae.